This 825-nucleotide ribosomal RNA is filed under the name uncultured Actinomycetes bacterium. RNAcentral's name for it is "bacterial SSU rRNA". It matches the Rfam family "Bacterial small subunit ribosomal RNA", at positions 71 to 902 of the family's 1533-position model. Lineage: Bacteria; Bacillati; Actinomycetota; Actinomycetes. The record is from RNAcentral.
GGUUUGUAGCAAUACAAAUACUCGUGGCGAACGGGUGCGUAACACGUGGAUAACCUUCCUUCAGGUGGGGAAUAACCCAGUGAAAAUUGGGCUAAUACCGCAUAACAUCGCGAUGGCACAUGCUGUUGCGUUCAAAGCCGCAAGGCGCCAGAAGAGGGAUCCGCGGCCGAUUAGCUUGUUGGCGAGGUAAUGGCUCACCAAGGCUUUGAUCGGUAUCCGGACUGAGAGGUUGGCCGGACACACUGGAACUGAGACACGGUCCAGACUCCUACGGGAGGCAGCAGUGGGGAAUCUUGCACAAUGGACGAAAGUCUGAUGCAGCAACGCCGCGUGGGGGAUGAAGCUUCUCGGAGUGUAAACCCCUUUCGACCUGGACGAAUGCCCGCAAGGGUUUGACGGUACAGGUAUAAGAAGCCCCGGCUAACUACGUGCCAGCAGCCGCGGUAAUACGUAGGGGGCCAGCGUUGCUCGGAAUUACUGGGCGUAAAGGGUCCGUAGGCGGUGUGGUAAGUCGAUAGUGAAAUCUCUGGGCUUAACCCAGAGGCUGCUAACGAAACUACCAUGCUAGAGUGUGAGAGAGGCGAGUGGAAUUACGGGUGUAGCGGUGAAAUGCGUAGAUAUCCGUAGGAACAUCCGAGGCGAAAGCGGCUCGCUGGAUCACAACUGACGCUGAGGGACGAAAGCUAGGGGAGCAAACAGGAUUAGAUACCCUGGUAGUCCUAGCCCUAAACCAUCAUGACUUGGGGUUUGCCCUGUACGGGGCAAGUCCCGUAGCUAACGCGUUAAGUCAUGCGCCUGGGGAGUACGGUCGCAAGGCUGAAACUC